UGCAGACAUGAGUCGGGCGCUUGUGUGUGUGCUGACGGCUGCUUGGAGCCUGGGAAUCAGCGGCCAGAUGGUGCACCAGCCGGAACGGGACGUCCACGCCGUUGAGGGUGCAGCAGUGACGCUCGACUGCAGCUCCGACAGUUCGAUGUCGGGCGACUACAUCUUCUGGUACAAACAAGAAGUGAGCUCACUGCCGGACUUCAUCCUGAGCACAUCUCAGUUUGGUCAGGGCAAAAAGGGAGAAAAGUACGGUGAAAGGUUUCGCUCCAGCAUGGAUGCCACCGCUCGGCAAGCUCCUCUGCAUAUCGAACGCGUGAAGCCCAGCGACUCGGGAGUCUUCUACUGCGCCCUGCAGCCCACGCUGACACAUUCACUGGCGUGCCUGCACAAAAACGCCUGCGCCUGCCUCAUCUCAUGAGUGAAAUUGGGGGCGUGGCCUCACCGGAGUA
This is a non-coding RNA of Hippocampus comes (tiger tail seahorse), 449 nucleotides long. Lineage: Eukaryota; Metazoa; Chordata; Actinopteri; Syngnathiformes; Syngnathidae. The record is from the annotation of a RefSeq genome assembly.